Molecule: long non-coding RNA, 2799 nt
Filed under: Capra hircus (goat)
Lineage: Eukaryota; Metazoa; Chordata; Mammalia; Artiodactyla; Bovidae
Description: lncRNA (ENSCHIG00010014712.1)
Source: RNAcentral
AGCCAAUAUGGGUUGGGUUUUCCACUUGCAGCUCAAUCAGUCCCAAGUGACAACUCUGUUUUCCAUCCUUAACUUAAGGUGCUGAAGCCAAAAUUCUUUUGCUGAAAAAUACUGAUGAAACAACCUGAACUCUAAAAAGUUUUGGCCCCUCCUAUCACUCUGUUUGUCUCACUCUUUCAAAUGCAGGUCUCUCUUCCUCGGAUUGCUUCAUAAUCAACAUAAGAUUUCAAUUUACAGUGGCAAGUCAUGUCUUCAGAUUGUUACUGAUAGCACCAAUUCAGAAAGAAUGAGUACUGACUCCAUUUACACACAGUUCACAUGGAUUCUCUCCAUCUAAGAAGCAUAGAAUCCCACAAAACCUAUUACCCCAUUGAGGAAAAUUGUGUACUAUGUGCUUUGAAUCAGUUCUGCUUUGAAUCAGUACUAUGUGCAAAGACUCAGAAUCUCUUUGAAUGAGAGUUGAUAUGUCUCAUUCCCUAUACAGAAUGUGUUUUAUAGAGAGAAUAUGUGGACAGACACGAUAGGGGAAAAUCUUCAGAAUGCUAUUACAUUGUUUUCCAAGGACUGAUUUUUUUAAUAUUUCAAAAAAAGUGAUUUUUUUUCUUUUUCAUGGAUCCCAGUAUUCAAAUAUUAAUAUUAAAAUGCAAAUGGAAAUUCAUAAGAACUCAGUAUAAAAAUGAAACUAGUUUCCUUUCAUUAUUUUAGAAAAACAGAUUUUAAGUGCUGUAGAACCACAUUCCAAAACAAAUAUGUAUUAAUUAAUGCACAUAUGAAUUUUCAAACAAUACCUCUUGAGAGUACAUUUUGUACCAAGCAUUACUUCCUAGAAACUCUCUAUGGCCUUAAAUACUGCUUUGAAUCUGCUUCCUUUUUGAAUAUAGACACUCUAAAGAUAAUUAUUUUCUCCAUUAUCAACUGUAAUAGUACAGACAUCACCUCAAACUAAAGAAAUUAUUUCUCCAACAUCACUGGGAAAAUGUAGUCAUCAACUACACAUUUUUAUUUUUCUAUUUAUUUUGACCCCAACAAAACAAGAAGUACUACUCAUAUGCUCAUAUGGUUACUUAGAUAAAUGUUUUAAUUUUCAAUUAAUAAAAAUUUAUUUGAAGAAGUACUAGAGCUAUGAAAAUGGUUACCAUGAGUUAAAACAAAAGUUCUCAGCACAAAUCACUCUAAAGAACCAUAAAAUCAAUUUUUUCCAUCAGAAAAAAGAGAAAAAAAAAACUAAUUUUCUCUUGAAUUCCCUGAAGAUUCACUGAACAUGAAAAGAAGGCCACAAAGCCAUUGUUAGACACAGAGAUCCCUUUCAAUGUACCUUACCAAACUUUUGGGUUUGUAAUUUUAUAUUCUUUCUUCAAAAACUCCCCAAAAUUGUAUACCUUUGAAACUUUGAAGAUGCUGGAUUGGUCAUGCCUAUUAGAUAAGCAAUGAAAUAAUUAUUAUUUUCAGUUUUCCUAAUCAUGCUCUAAAAGCCAUACAUGAGAUGUUUCUCUUAAAAUAUUAUUACAGCUAGUUUAACAAUAAUUAUUCUAGCUAACUAUUUAGCAACUAGUUAUUCUAUAUCUCUAUGAAAGUUUUGUUAAUAAUUUUUUUUAAUCUCCAUUCUUAUGGGAAGAAAAGUAUUACCUGAUAAUCCUUAGANNNNNNNNNNNNNNNNNNNNNNNNNNNNNNNNNNNNNNUAGAAAGAGAUUUGCAAGCUGACAAUCUACUCAAGACAAAUAUUACACUCUGAUAUACAAAAUACAAGGACAUAUAUUUUGCUAAUGCAGUUCUAGCAGUCCAUUAUUUGCCAAUGUAAGAAGUGCUGGGAAUGCAUUACUUCACUUACUCUUCACAGUAGGCUUUAUCAGCCCCAUUUACACGUGAGGAAAUUGAUACUACUAUGCUAAAAAAAAAAAAAAAAAACCUCAACUUUAAUGUAUAUUGCAACAUUCACCAAAUAGGAGAGGUACUUGGUUAUCUUGGAAUUCACAAGUCGAAAUUUCAAAUGAUUAGGAGAGCAUACGUUACUUAUCUUAUAUCAAACUCUAAAAAUCACAGUAAGAAAUAGCAGAAAGAAAAUGCAAAUAAAGUAUAUCAUAUAUUCCAUAUAUUCCAAGGAGACUUUUUCAAAUCCACAACAAAACAUUUUAUAGAAAAAUUUUGAGAUAAUUGUGACAUGCAUUCCCAGGCACUCCUUCCAAAAGGUAUCUUUUUUAUUAAAAGUAAAAAUACUGAAUUUGACUUUAUUCAUUUUGUAAUUAUGUCUUUCUUGCAAAUAAAUAGUAAUCAGAAAGCUAUCAACCCAUUAUAAUUGCACUGUCCCAUAAACUACACUCUGCACCUUACUAUACCUGUAACAGUAUGUCAAAUUCCUGUAGAGUAAUUUGAUACAUAAAUGAGAACAUUAUNNNNNNNNNNNNNNNNNNNNNNNNNNNNNNNNNNNNNNNNNNNNNNNNNNNNNNNNNNNNNNNNNNNNNNNNNNNNNNNNNNNNNNNNNNNNNNNNNNNGUAUGUCAAAUUCCUGUAGAGUAAUUUGAUACAUAAAUGAGAACAUUAUUAAAUAGAAUGAGGUGUGUAUGAAGUUCCAGAAUAAAGUAAUUGUGCAAUCCAGAUUUAAUUUACAGAAGAAAUGAAUAGUAAAUAUGAAUCACUAAACUAUAAUUAGAAAGUAAAAUGAAAUCUUGGAGAAAUGACAAAAUGUCACUCUGAACCAAACCAAGCCCAAAUGCAAUGCAGAAAGAAACAAAGACAAAUCCUCCCUUGGGCUUUAGGUGAAUGGCAUGAUCCCUCAUAAAAGAGGACAACCUUUUUAGGGAUG